GACGAACGCUGGCGGCGUGCUUAACACAUGCAAGUCGAACGGAAAGGCCCUGCUUGCAGGGUGUUCUCGUGUCGAACGGGUGAGUAACACGUGGGUGUUCUGCCCCUUACUCUUGGAUAUGCCUGCAGAACUCUGUCUAUUAUUCCGUAUAACCAUGCUGUCGGCGUGGUGGUGGUAGGAUUGUUUUCGGUGGGGGGGGAGCUCUCGGCGGAUCAGCUUUUUGGUGGGGUAUUGGCCGACCAAGGAGGCGACGGGGAGCCGGCCUGAGAGGGUGGACGGCCACAUUGGGAGUGAGGUGAGGCGCAGACGACUACGGGGGGAAGCAGUAGGGAGUAAUGCAGAACGGGGGGAAGCCGGAUGCAGCGGCGCCGCGUGGGGGAGGACGGCCGUCGGGUUGUAAAAUACUGCCAGCGAUGACGAAGCACUGGUGGUGACGGUAGUGGUAGAAGAAGCACCGGCUAACUACGUG
RNAcentral lists this ribosomal RNA (469 nucleotides) under uncultured bacterium. RNAcentral describes it as "partial 16S ribosomal RNA". It matches the Rfam family "Bacterial small subunit ribosomal RNA", at positions 28 to 507 of the family's 1533-position model. The record is from RNAcentral.